GUAAUAUGUACGGUUGACAUGACAAAAACACGCGAGUGUAUCAGUGACGCUGCUGAGUCGUACUGUAACUGUGAUUUGGUUGAAAAGUAUAUAUGUAGUAAUGGGAAAUUGGAAUUUAUUAGUCGUGAGUUUGCAGCAUUCUAAAAAUUCAUAUUCGAAAUAUGUGGUCUGUAGGCUUUCCGUUCCGCGAAUGCCUUAUUCAGUCUAAUGCAGAGUAAUUAAUGCAUUAUAAUUAAUGGAAUACAGAAUACAUACAUAUACUGUUCCUCCCUAGCUCGUAAUUGACAAAACUGUCUGAAAAACCGCUUAAAAACCCGGUCGUUUCGCAGUUCUACUGGGAACAAUAGUUUAGAAAUCUAUUUGGAAUAGGGUCAACUUAAUGUUUAAAUUCCCUGUUUAUGAAAUAGAAAACAUACGAAUCUUCUCAUUUCAUGGGAACGACCUGAGACUGCAAUCACGGCUUCAAUUUUUGAAUUGCAGAAUAAUUAGAUGCACUAGUGAUCUGGUGUAUUUAAGAUAUCUAUGGCUAAAGCUCUUUGAGCUGAUUCUAAAUUUGAAUAUGUAACCAACGCAAUAUCAAUAAUCUCUCCCCAUUGCGCGAAGUAAUCUUUUAUCACUUUUUCAGUUGUCUUCAACUUAAGGCCACUGACGAAAAGUUUCCUUUCUUGUUCAGCCAUUACUUUCUCGCAAGAGGUAGAACGAGGUACAAAUGGGCCUUGGAAAACUUAUAACUUUUCCUAACUUCUUCUUCUUGCUCAUAGCUAAUCGUAAUCCUAAUGGCUAUGCUAAUGAUAAUGUUCACUGAUGCGUGAAGCUACUUUUAUAGAGUUAGUCAGAGGAUGAUUUUGCCAUCUUGAAGUAUUUCCUAUACGCAAUGUUGUGGUCGUUGGUAGAAAGUUCUCUGACCACAUUCAUGUCCGUUGACGUUAUUUGUGGACAAGGCGUUUUCUUUAAUCUUUAGAACUAUGUGCUUACUCGUGCACAUAAGCUAUAAUAUGAAAAGGUAUAAGCUAUAAUAUGAAAAGGUAUAAGCUACAGUAUAAUAUAAUAAUAGUAUAAUAAUAAUAAUAUUUAAUGUAUGUAAAAUUACAUGAUAAUGUCUAUCGUGUAAUAGGGUAUAUGGUAUAAAAUUGAAUGGCUGAGUAGCUUCUGUCCUCUCGUAAAAACAACUUCUUGGAUUUUUAGUGUAAAAAUUCAGCGCUCCUGUCUGCUUGCUAAACGUUUUUUUCUUUUCAUUUUUAAUUUUGUUCUUUAUUUUCAUUUUCAUUAAGAGGUAUGCGCGCUAUGCUUCACCAUCCUUUCUCAUUCUACCACUAAGUUCCCUCUAUAUUAUAGCAAAGCUGACCCCCUUUGCACCUGUCCGUAAGAGCCUUGGAAAAUUUAUUAUAACUUUUCCUAACGUCUUUCGUUCGUGAUAUGUCCUGUGACACCAACCUGAUCUGUGGAGAUGUCCGUCUUGCUUCUUUGUGCAGUAAGAUGAUCAUCAGGUAGAAUUGCAGGUUUCUUUUCCCAGCAGCACGACGUUUCUUUGCAUUAUGCCACCCUUCGAUGUGAUUAUUGGUGCGGAUUUCUUCUUUAAAAACACUCCAGCUGGAUGGUGGCCAAGUUCAUCCUUUAAUCCAUCUUUUGGAAAUAUACUGGACAAAACUUUGAAGUCUGGUGGUUGUGUCCUGUUUUUCCAGUUGGUUGAACAUUGGGGCAAUUUGAGUUGCU
Molecule: long non-coding RNA, 1713 nt
Filed under: Paramuricea clavata
Lineage: Eukaryota; Metazoa; Cnidaria; Anthozoa; Malacalcyonacea; Plexauridae
Source: RNAcentral